Molecule: ribosomal RNA, 428 nt
Filed under: uncultured bacterium
Lineage: Bacteria
Description: bacterial SSU rRNA
Rfam family: Bacterial small subunit ribosomal RNA
Source: RNAcentral
UUUCGAAUCAUUCACAAUGGGCGAAAGCCUGAUGGUGCGACGCCGCGUGAGGGAUGAAGGUCUUCGGAUUGUAAACCUCUGUCACCGGGGAAGAAACGCUUUGAGUUAAUAGUUCAAAGCCUGACUUAACCCGGAGAGGAAGCAGUGGCUAACUCUGUGCCAGCAGCCGCGGUAAUACAGAGACUGCAAGCGUUAUUCGGAUUCACUGGGCGUAAAGGGUGCGCAGGCGGCCAAGUGUGUGAGGCGUGAAAGCCUGGAGCUUAACUCCAGAAUUGCACCUCAAACUACUUGGCUAGAGCAUUGGAGAGGGUAGCAGAAUUCAUGGUGUAGCAGUGAAAUGCGUAGAUAUCAUGAGGAAUACCAGAGGCGAAGGCGGCUACCUGGACAAUUGCUGACGCUCAGGCACGAAAGCGUGGGGAGCAAAAGGG